Molecule: non-coding RNA, 75 nt
Organism: Streptomyces sp.
Lineage: Bacteria; Bacillati; Actinomycetota; Actinomycetes; Kitasatosporales; Streptomycetaceae
Source: Rfam
CUUGAGGGAGCCGAGCCAGAGCGGCCGGUCCUCUGGCCUGCCCUGGCCGUAGGUGGCCAGCAGGGCCUGCGCCUC